RNAcentral lists this long non-coding RNA (944 nucleotides) under Mus pahari (shrew mouse). RNAcentral describes it as "lncRNA (MGP_PahariEiJ_G0012279.1)". Lineage: Eukaryota; Metazoa; Chordata; Mammalia; Rodentia; Muridae. The record is from RNAcentral.
UCUCCUGUAGGAUUUGGGCUAGCCCCUUCUGAAGGGACAGGGACUCCCUUAGCAGGCACGGGCUGUGGUCAUAUUUCUUUUCUCUUUUUCUUACCUAACUUUUUUGGGGUAGCCUAGGCUGACCUUUGAGGAUAGCCCAAGUGCUAACACUUCAGGUGUGUGACACCAGGCCUGGCCACUGUCACAUUUUGGGUUUAGCAGCCUUUUGCAUGUACUUACUGACUGGAGAGUUGUUUAUUCAUGCUUUGCCCAUGUCAAAACUGGAUAACUGAUUCUUCUCUUUCACCUACAAGUUUGACCCGGAAGGGCAUUUUCACGAGCCUAUUGCCUAGGGAGAAGGUUUGUAAAUGAUAGACACAGGCAAGGUGGCGCCAGAGGAGGCUGAGGUGGGAGUCCCUAGGAAAGAUCCAAGGGUCAGUCAGAUGGCAAAGAUCUGAAGAAAUACUGGACCAUUGGAGAGUUCUGAGUGGGAAAGUGCAAACUUCAGGAUGGGCCAUGUGGAGACUUCUGGGGCUGAGACGUGACUAACACAUUUCCAUCCUGAAGGAUGUGGUGGACUGGCAUGGGACUAGAGUAAGGGAUGACGUUUAGUCAUCAUUUCCUGUGUGUGAGGAAUUGGUGUUUGUAUGUGAAAUCAAAGGAUGACUUGAACUGGGUCUUUCUGUCUCUGCCUUCCAAGUUCUGGGAUCACAGGUGUCAACCACCACACUUGGUUUCUGUAGCGCUGGGAUCAUAUCCAGGGCCCUGUGAGUUCUAGACAAGCGCUCUGCCAACUGAGGGGCAUGCUACCCCUUGAAAUGCUCUUCGCUGUUCUAUUAAGUGACAGGUAGCUAGGAUGGACGAAUAUGCUAAAUUUAUCCUUUUUUAGUAAAACAUGACGUCUUAUGGAAAAGUAGUACAAAAAUACAAGUAUUAAUGAAUUAAAGACACCUUGGUAUUUCCUU